RNAcentral lists this ribosomal RNA (253 nucleotides) under uncultured bacterium. Its description in RNAcentral is "partial 16S ribosomal RNA". It matches the Rfam family "Bacterial small subunit ribosomal RNA", at positions 524 to 776 of the family's 1533-position model. The record is from RNAcentral.
UACGAAGGGGGCGAGCGUUGUUCGGAUUUACUGGGCGUAAAGGGCGCGUAGGCGGCCCUCCUUGUCGCGUGUGAAAGCCCCGGGCUCAACCUGGGAAUUGCGCGCGAAACGGGGGGGCUUGAGUUCGGGAGAGGAGCGUGGAAUUCCCAGUGUAGAGGUGAAAUUCGUAGAUAUUGGGAAGAACACCGGUGGCGAAGGCGGGUCUCUGGGCAGUAACUGACGCUGAGGAACGAAAGCGUGGGUAGCAAACAGG